Molecule: ribosomal RNA, 847 nt
Filed under: Botryosphaeria dothidea
Lineage: Eukaryota; Fungi; Ascomycota; Dothideomycetes; Botryosphaeriales; Botryosphaeriaceae
Description: partial large subunit ribosomal RNA
Rfam family: Eukaryotic large subunit ribosomal RNA
Source: RNAcentral
CAGGGAUUGCCUUAGUAACGGCGAGUGAAGCGGCAACAGCUCAAAUUUGAAAGCUGGCUCCUUUGGAGUCCGCGUUGUAAUUUGUAGAGGAUGAUUCGGCAAGGGCUCCCGCCUAAGUCUCCUGGAACGGAGCGUCAUAGAGGGUGAGAAUCCCGUAUGCGGUGGGCUGCCUAAGCCAUGUGAAUCUCCUUCGACGAGUCGAGUUGUUUGGGAAUGCAGCUCUAAAUGGGAGGUAAAUUUCUUCUAAAGCUAAAUACCGGCCAGAGACCGAUAGCGCACAAGUAGAGUGAUCGAAAGAUGAAAAGCACUUUGGAAAGAGAGUUAAAAAGUACGUGAAAUUGUUGAAAGGGAAGCGCUUGCAGCCAGACUUGUCCGCAGUUGCUCAGCCGGUCUCCUGACCGGUGUACUCUUCUGCGGCCAGGCCAGCAUCAGUUCGGGCGGUCGGAUAAAGACCUCGGGAAUGUAGCUCCUCUCGGGGAGUGUUAUAGCCCGGGGUGGAAUGCGGCCAGCCUGGACUGAGGAUCUCGCUUCGGCUAGGAUGCUGGCGUAAUGGCUGUAAGCGGCCCGUCUUGAAACACGGACCAAGGAGUCUAACAUCUAUGCGAGUGUUUGGGUGUCAAACCCAUGCGCGUAAUGAAAGUGAACGGAGGUGGGAACCCUCACGGGUGCACCAUCGACCGAUCCUGAUGUCUUCGGAUGGAUUUGAGUAAGAGCAUAGCUGUUGGGACCCGAAAGAUGGUGAACUAUGCCUGAAUAGGGUGAAGCCAGAGGAAACUCUGGUGGAGGCUCGCAGCGGUUCUGACGUGCAAAUCGAUCGUCAAAUUUGGGUAUAGGGGCGAAAGACUAA